GGGAUUACCUGCCCACACAAUAGAGGGAGGAUCUUACCUGGGAAUCCUCACUUGGCUCCAGAGCUUCUUCAGGAAGGACGUUGCUGGACUUCCUCGCUCCAAAAGGUAAGCCUGGGGCCUUUGGCCUCCCCCCCCACGACAGGGUUCCCAAAGGAUAGCAGGGGGGGUAAUGGAUUUCAGGAUCCCCUUUUAAAAGGGGAUCCUUUUCCCUAGGCGGGCCCUGAUGCCCCAGGGUUUUGGGUGAUGGCACGGGGGCCCCUCUGGCUGCCCCCCAUGCCUGCGGGAGAGUGUGGGCCGCGGGGGGAGGCAACGCCACACGCGGCCCUUCCCUUCCCCCGCCAGGCCUGGCGGCCCUGGGGUGUGGUGGGUGGUGGCGGGGGGGGUCCCGGUCACCCCCCGGGGCCUCGGAGGCCUCCAGGCGGCCUUUUUAGGCUGCAGGGAGACCCGCCGCGUUUUGGAAGGCCUUACUGGGCCUCGGGGGGGGGGCUCCGCCGCGUUCCGCAGCCUAAUCAGGCCUCCUGCGGCCCUGGAGCCUCCCCUGGGCGGUGGGGGCCUUCCUGCUGCCCCCACGAUCGCCGGGGGGGCCGCGGGCCGCGCCGUGCGGCCUCCCCUGGCUCCGGAGGCCUAGCUAGGCCUCAGGGAGGCCUGGCUGGGCCUCGGGAGGCUCCGUGGCCUAAUCGGGCCUCCGGUGGCCCCGGAGCCACCCCUGGGUGGUGGGGGCCUUCCCGCCGCUCCUGCGAUUGCCGGGGGGCCGUGGGCCGCGCCGCGCGGCUUCUCCCGGCUCUGGAGGCCUAGCUGAGCCUCGGGGAGGCUCUGUGGCCUAAUCGGGCCUCCGGCGGCCCUGGAGCCUCUCCUGGGUGGUGGGGGCCUUCCUGCCGCCCCCACGUUCCGUGUGCUGCCUCCCCCAGCUUUGGCCGGCCUUUUAAGGCCGCAGGGAGGCUCUGCCGCCUCGCACGGCCUACACCAGGCCUCUGGCGACCCUGGAGCCUCCCCUGGGCGGCGGGGGGGACCCCUGCAGCCGGCGGGCAUACCCGCCCCCCCUGAGAUGGCCCCGGGGGACAGUGUGGGCCUCUGCUUGCACCCCACCCCCUUAAACUGUGUGGUGGGGGGGGUGGUGCCGCAUCACGGGGCCCUGCCAAGGUGCUGUAGGACUGGUCCCUGUUGGAGGCGUGCCGGGCCUGCUUGGUGGUGGCUCCAUGUCUGCAGCCAUUUCAAUGGCGACCGCAUGGCGGCAGCCAUUGCGCUGGUGGCCACAUGGCGGCGGCCACCCUGGAUCUGACCACAUGGGCAGUCAUGCCUCGGUGGUCCUCAGGCACACCUAUGGCCUCAUUAGGUACGUAUUGGUUUUACAUCUCACCAUCAUGGCUUGCCAGCAGGUGCAGCGGACAGCAGGCAUCGCGCUCAUUAUCGACGAGGGGAGACUGCCCAUGGACCUCAACUGAAAUCUGUGCAGUGAUUUUCUAAACUAUUGCUUGUUUUAUUUUGCAGCCUUCAGUAGCGAUUCCUGCUGCGACUCAGUUCUUGCCUUAUCUCCUCCCCUCCCAUUAUUCGUAACCUUACCUUUAUCACUAGUGUGUGUUUGCAAAUUGAUAGCGGGCAUUUCCUACCAAUCAUUGCCCCCCCUUGUUUUACGGAUUCCCUAGCAUACCCUACUCUAUUAGCCCCACACCAUGCCACCAAAGCAUCAGGCUGCUUCUCCUCCCCGCACCAGAAGGGGCACUGUAAGGGGCAAGCCCACCAAGCCUGCCCAGAGACAGGCCACUGGACAGCGGGAGGUGCGUGCGACCAGGGAGGAGCAGCCCAAGCCCAAGAAGACCACGCCCAAGAGGGCAGCGGCACCUAGAGGGUCUUCUGGGUCCAUAAGCCCACUAGCCUUGGCAAGCCGCGCCGGCAAGGGGUCGGCUGCCAAGCCGAGAUGUACAGAGAGCUCCUCCUCUACCCGCUCCUCCCUUAGUAGCAGUCCCUCGCACUCAGUGCGCGGAGACAGUAGGGAUAGGACCAUUGCCCGGCUGAGGC
RNAcentral lists this long non-coding RNA (2016 nucleotides) under Podarcis lilfordi (Lilford's wall lizard). The record is from RNAcentral. Lineage: Eukaryota; Metazoa; Chordata; Lepidosauria; Squamata; Lacertidae.